RNAcentral lists this ribosomal RNA (337 nucleotides) under uncultured bacterium. RNAcentral describes it as "bacterial SSU rRNA". It matches the Rfam family "Bacterial small subunit ribosomal RNA", at positions 30 to 363 of the family's 1533-position model. The record is from RNAcentral.
AGUGAACGCUGGCGGCAGGCCUAACACAUGCAAGUCGAGCGGCAGCGCAGGCGUAGCAAUACGCUGGGCGGCGAGCGGCGGACGGGUGAGGAACACAUCGGAAUCUACCCUGUCGUGGGGGACAACGUAGGGAAACUUACGCUAAUACCGCAUACGACCUUCGGUGAAGUGGGGACCGGCAAGGCCUCACGCGAUUGGAUGAGCCGAUGUCCGAUUAGCUAGUUGGCGGGGUAAGAGCCCACCAAGGCGACGAUCGGUAGGCUGGUCUGAGAGGACGACCAGCCACACUGGAACUGAGACACGGUCCAGACUCCUACGGAGGCAGCAGUGGGGAAGU